This 448-nucleotide long non-coding RNA is filed under the name Mytilus galloprovincialis (Mediterranean mussel). Lineage: Eukaryota; Metazoa; Mollusca; Bivalvia; Mytilida; Mytilidae. The record is from RNAcentral.
GCUCACAAUCUGACUUCGAAAGAAGCAUACAUUUUUGUAAAGGUGUUUUUUUUUUCUGUUGAAGUAAUAGGAGAAAUAAAGGUAAUAUCGAAAUAAAAAAAAGAAAUUUAUUACAGAAAUCGCUAAAAUUUUACAAUAAUUUAGUUUAAGUACAGCUUAUAUGGAAACUAUAUUAAAAAAGAUAGGUCACCGAUGAGUUGAAAAAGAUAUUUCAAUUUUAGAGCCAAAAAUGGCAUUUUUCCAAUAAAGGGAGAUAAUUUGGAACUUUUUCAAUGAUGUAUACAUUUUGAAAGUCAUCUGGGGCCAACACGAAUUGAUUGUUUUGAAUGAUUUUUGUACCAUAUGAUAAAGUAACAACUACAAAAGGAAAUAAAUAAAAUUUGUAAUGAAAAUAUAAUGUUUGAUUUUUUUCUGAAAUUUUUAUACCCUCGAGCCUCCUUAAACCAAA